CAGGCCAGCAAAAACAAAACUAUGUUCAGCAAAGUGUCCAUGCAGAAGGGAAGAAGAGAAGGAAUCAUUGAUUGUGGGCAGCUUGUGAGCCAAUUCCCAAACAGAGCCCAUGGAGCAAAAGAUUAGGCAUGGCUUGGAGUCAGCUUCUUUAUCAAAUGAGCCCAUAGAGUGUGAGCAAAGGCAAGCCUCAAAAAGAGAUCUGCUUUGGCAGCUGGUUCACCAGUGAAGAUGCCUGUAGCAAAAACUAAAAACGGCAGAUUUUUCUGGCUGCCUUGGAAUACAACAGCUUAAUGUCGACUCCUCUUGCUUGGGAAAUUAAUUGGGACUGAUUGCUGGUGGGCUUUGAAGAUCACACUACUGACCUGCUAUGGAGUUUUCUGGAAGUGGAAUAGAUAAUGAGAAUGUCUGAUAUCAAAAACUUGGUUUAGAAGGCACACUCACUUCUAUCAACUCCUUUGAAGAUAAAAAGGCAAAAAUAUGGGCUUUCAGUCAAAUACCUCAAUUCAAACCCCAGCUCUAAUUUUACCAGUUGUGUUACCCAGAAAAAAUUACCAACAGUCUUUAAACUCAAGUUUCUUUAUCUAUAACUGGGGAGAUAACCAUGCCUACCUUCCUAAGUCAUUGUUUAGAUUACAAUCUAUGUAUAAGUUAAAUGUUAGAUAUAAUUUACUCAUUCCAUAGAAUAUUAGAAUAUAUAGCAUCGCUCAUUAAGUGGUGGCUAUUACUGCUUAUCACAAUAGUCAUAUAAAUUAAGAUAAUUGUCAUCAUUUUAGCAAUAAGAAAACUCAGGCUCAAAUUGCAUAGAUUUGCCCAAUCUCACAGAGCUUUAAGAAGUAGAGCUGAGACCCAAACAUAUCACUCAAACACAUAAACAAUUAAUUCUGUCAUUCCAGAAACAUAGAAACUGGACAAAUAACCAAAUAUUGAAAGAAGUUUCCAGUGCCUCACCUUGACUUUUUUCUCUAAAUUGCAUUGGUUUUUCUCCUGGAUUGAAUGUUCUUGCUAUUCAAGAGGUACAUUAGAGAAUAAGAACGUAAUUUAUCUUGAGUAAUAGCAAGAGAAGGAAAAUCUGGAGUUGGGGGGAUGGUACAGGAAUCAAAUACAUGCUGCAUUCCCAUAAAUUAUUUUAUAGAGCAAGGUUAAGAUAAAGGAAUAGAGGCAUAUCUGUUAGUAUAAGGAAAAAAGUAUAAGGAAGAAUGGAACACAUCUGCCAAUGGAGGUGGAUAUAGGUAUGAUAUGAAAUUAAUCGAUCUCAAUCAGCGGGAGGAAGAAGGCACGUUAGACAGAAAAGGGUUAGAAAUAUGUAAAUAGCUAUUUGUAUCUGUGCCUUAGGCCUAGUUAGCUUGUAAACAGUCUCUUGGCAUUCAUUGUCAUGCUAUAAAACAUGCUAUAAUAAAAUUACAAAACUUUUAUGCUUUCUGAAGGGUUAGAUUCUUUCAGCAUAUCAAAAUGGUUAUUUCUGGAGAGGAUUGCUGCAGGAUCCAGUGGGCCACUGGAACCUGUUUCUUAGAUUCUAACCCCCUACAUUGUCACCACAGCUGUGCUGCCAUACUGCUGCCUUACCCCUUCUAUCUAAAGAUACAAAGAGCCCUUGUGCCAGGCACUGUUCUAAGUGCUUCACAUUCUCACAAUAGUCCAAGAAGGUAAUGCAAAUGUUACCCCACACUAAAAUGAUGAAAGUGAAGCACAGAGAAGUUAAGCAAUUUGCCUAGCAUCAUGCAGUUAAAGUUGGCAUUUCAACACAUGCAGUCUAGCGCUGGUGCAUGUAUCCAAGACAUGCAUCCAAGACAAUAUAUUCCAUACCAAUUCUUUUCAAAUUAUUUGUGGCAAAAGAUUUAUUUUGAUUUUGUUUUUAUUUAUAAUAUAUUGUGAGCCAAUACUUUUGUAAAAUACACUAAAAGUCAUUUAACAGAAAAAUGAAAUUAAAAGAUAUCCAAAAUAUCGACUCUAAUUUUAAAAUUAUUAUUAAGUUCAGCAUGCAUAAAAUGAGUCUAUAAAUUGUUAUGAAAGUUUCUAAAUGCUUUCUCAUUGCUUACUCUCACUGUCUUUGUGUCCCACAGUCCAGCAGGGGUCUCUAAACCACACUUUGAUUAGCACUGUUCUAGUAUUACUAGGCUGGGCACAUUUUGUGUCAAUGAAACCAGUGGAACUGGCUGCUCUACAACAAGGUCAAUCUUGGUGCCACCAACCCCAGGCCUGUGUUUUCUAAUUACCCGAGUUAACCACUCAUCUAGCCUGACUGAGAAUUCUAACAGAUAGAGGAACCCUUAAGAACUGAAAUCAGGAUUUAGUCUGUGCCAUUCUGAAAGGAGCUGAAUGUUCCAGUGCGUUAAUGUAUAAAACCAAUUUUGCAAAAUGUCUUUUAAGAAAUCACAAUCUUCUUUCCUCCAGUUGUUCUUUUAUCUUUUUAAAAAUAAAUUAAUUUUCAAAUUGAAACAUAACUACAUUUUUAUGGGAUACUUAAUGAUGGUUUUUGAUUUUGUUUAUGUUUUUUGAGACAGGGUCUCACUCUGUCACCCAGGCUGGAGUGCAGCGGUGCCAUCUUGGCUCACUGCAACCUCUGCCUCCUGGGUUCGAGAGAUUCUCGUGCCUCAGCCUCCUGAGUAUUUGGGAUUACAGGUGUGUGCUGCUGCAGCUGGCUAAUUUUUUUUGUAUUUUUAGUAGAGAUGGGUUUUUGCCAUGUUAGCCAGGCUGGUCUUGCAAUCCUGACCUCAAGUGAUCCACCCAUUUCGGCCUCCCAAAGUGCUGGAAUUACAGGCGCGAGCAACCGCGCCCAGCUGAUGUUUCCAUAUAUACAAUAUACAGUGAACAAAUCGGGGUAAUUCAUUGCUUUUUUAUCUUAGUAUGACUUUCCUUUUCCUCUUGUUUUUCUCAUGACCUAAAGUGCUUGGCACACUGCCUGAAAAAUAGUAGGUAUCCAAUAGAUGUUUAUGAUUAAAAAUUCCCAUUUAUUUCAACAAAUACUACUGGUAUUAAAUUUCCAGGUAUAAAUGACACCAUGUAGGUACUAUACAAGCCUGAAAUGACAAUAUGCUCCCUAUCAAGAGGUCAGUCCUAAGGAAAAAAAUGUUAUAGAUGAAGGAGUUGGAAAUACACCACUCUGGCAUAUUGACUAUUUAAGUUAAAGGCACUUAAAUAAAACAGCAGUUGCAAAAAGAUCACCGUGACCUUUGGGCUAUUUCUUAAAAACAGAAGAUAAAACGACCAUGUGAGGAUGCAACGUUCUUAUCCUCAAGGAUGAGAAAGUUGAGGCCAAAGUAAUUCUGUACAAAGAAACCUUGUUAAAUGAAUCUUUACCUUCCUAAUCGUUGAUCUACCAAUUAAGUACUUGAGUGCAGUAUAUAAGUAACUCAUUCUAACUACCUCUCAAGGUAGUCAUUUCCUCAUAAGGGCUCCCAUGCCAUGUAAAACUCAUAUUGAAUUUGUGGGCAUUUCGUAUGUUAAUCUGUGUUAUGUCGAUUUAUUUAUCAGACCCGAUGGAUAGAGGAUUGAGUUAAAGUUUUGCUGCUCCUAUACGGACAACAUCCAAAGUAAUGGCUUAUUCAAGUGAAGUAGGGGAAAUUAAGAAGGAAAGAGUUAAACUCAAAAGUGUUUACAAUUUUGCUUUAUUAAAAUAUUCAAAUAUUUUAAUAUCUAUGCUGUAAACUUAAUGUUAUUAUUAUAACUUGGAGGCUUUAAGUAGUGCAUGAUUGCUCACACAAUAAAGACUGUCUUCAUAAUAAAGUUUUGUAUAAAUGUCUUUAAAUCAAGAGUGCUAAGCUUCAUGUCAUUCC
Molecule: long non-coding RNA, 3773 nt
Filed under: Homo sapiens (human)
Lineage: Eukaryota; Metazoa; Chordata; Mammalia; Primates; Hominidae
Description: HSALNT0135275
Source: RNAcentral